GAGACGACGUGUUUACCAGAAGAGGCAUCUCCACCAGAGAUUACAUUGCCAGAGGAGAUAUUUUACCAGAGGAGUUGUCAAAUGCGCGGGAAGAUCUCCCGCGUAUUGUUGAAAUUACCAGCAUACCCUUCCACCACGCAAGACGCAUGCACCAAAGACGUUUUUACUAUUUUACCCCUCCGCUUGUAAAUCUAUAAAUAGGGCCCGAGCUCGUGUA
This 217-nucleotide long non-coding RNA is filed under the name Salvia miltiorrhiza (redroot sage). Its description in RNAcentral is "long non-coding RNA (SMIL_LNC014213)". Lineage: Eukaryota; Viridiplantae; Streptophyta; Magnoliopsida; Lamiales; Lamiaceae. The record is from RNAcentral.